This 378-nucleotide ribosomal RNA is filed under the name Triticum aestivum (bread wheat). RNAcentral describes it as "partial small subunit ribosomal RNA". The record is from RNAcentral. Lineage: Eukaryota; Viridiplantae; Streptophyta; Magnoliopsida; Poales; Poaceae.
UUCGCUCGGGCAGUUUAGGCCAUACUUCAAGUAGCUUCGAAUCUAUACCCGCCACGUAGUGUACGGAACAUGUUCGGCAACUGAUUGCGGGGUAUUGAUAAACAAUUUUCUGCACAUAUUGUUGUGGGAGCGGCGGCCUUAUGUUGGGCACUGUGGCUUACCAGGAAUGAUAUGAUUUUUAAUAACAAAUGUAUCUCAUCUCCUAUGCAGGUUAUUUAUGUGUGUACAUGAUGGCUCCGUACUUGGUCUAUCCUGCAGAGGCCGGAGGACAUGGACCUUUUUAUGAUGGCGUCUACACGGCUGGAACGUACGGCCAGGGAGGUUUUCUACCCCCAUGGAUGGCGGUGUGACCUACGGAUAGGAUCUGCCACUCCUUAG